This 296-nucleotide long non-coding RNA is filed under the name Ananas comosus (pineapple). Its description in RNAcentral is "long non-coding RNA (ACOM_LNC016239)". The record is from RNAcentral. Lineage: Eukaryota; Viridiplantae; Streptophyta; Magnoliopsida; Poales; Bromeliaceae.
AAUCUUGAAACAAUAACAAAAUCCAGGCUAGGGCUACUAUACUCUUAUGAGUAUAAGCCCUUUUGUACUCAUAAGUUUUCUACUGUUGAAUGAAAAGAUGUACGGUUAGAAUAAUAGUUGUUUUCGGUUAGGUUAAUAUAUAGUGGUUUCCUAGGGUCGAGUGGGCGAUUGAUUGAAUAGUAUGAUCUAAAGACUGAAAAUGAUCAAAGUAGUAAACCUAACGGCAAAAAACUUAUGAGUAUAAAAAAGCCUAUACUCAUAAGAGUAUAGUAGCAGAACUCCAAAAUCCAUCUCUU